GGACUAUUAGCUCAGUUGGUUAGAGCGUACCCUUGAUAAGGGUAAAGUCGCUGGUUCAAGUCCAGCAUGGUCCU
RNAcentral lists this transfer RNA (74 nucleotides) under Euglena mutabilis. RNAcentral's name for it is "tRNA-Ile". It matches the Rfam family "tRNA". From Rfam's summary of the family: Transfer RNA (tRNA) molecules are approximately 80 nucleotides in length. Their secondary structure includes four short double-helical elements and three loops (D, anti-codon, and T loops). Further hydrogen bonds mediate the characteristic L-shaped molecular structure. tRNAs have two regions of fundamental functional importance: the anti-codon, which is responsible for specific mRNA codon recognition, and the 3' end, to which the tRNAs corresponding amino acid is attached (by aminoacyl-tRNA synthetases). tRNAs cope with the degeneracy of the genetic code in two manners: having more than one tRNA (with a specific anti-codon) for a particular amino acid; and 'wobble' base-pairing, i.e. permitting non-standard base-pairing at the 3rd anti-codon position. Lineage: Eukaryota; Euglenozoa; Euglenophyceae; Euglenales; Euglenaceae. The record is from RNAcentral.